GGCCCCUUAGCUCAGCUGGUAGAGCACUCGCGCUACUGAAGCGGGAAUGGCAACCGUGCGUGGGUUCGAGUCCCACCGGUGUCA
This 84-nucleotide transfer RNA is filed under the name Fasciola gigantica. It matches the Rfam family "tRNA". From Rfam's summary of the family: Transfer RNA (tRNA) molecules are approximately 80 nucleotides in length. Their secondary structure includes four short double-helical elements and three loops (D, anti-codon, and T loops). The record is from Rfam by way of RNAcentral. Lineage: Eukaryota; Metazoa; Platyhelminthes; Trematoda; Plagiorchiida; Fasciolidae.